This 255-nucleotide unclassified non-coding RNA is filed under the name Hevea brasiliensis (rubber tree). The record is from RNAcentral. Lineage: Eukaryota; Viridiplantae; Streptophyta; Magnoliopsida; Malpighiales; Euphorbiaceae.
GAAAUUGAAGAAGAAAGCUGCAGCAUCUGGACCUUCGGUUGAACCUGAGGAUCCAGCUGAAGAAGUUGCUGAGGCAGCAGACACUGAGAAGGUGGAAGUGCAUGAUGAGCCUCCUGCUUCAGUGAAGGGAAAAGUUAAGAAGGAGAACAGCGUCAGGCACAGGACUCGGCCAAGGGGCCCAGAUUCAUUUUCAAAAGCUAUCCUGAGGAGGAAAAAGUCGACCAACUAUUGGAUGUGGGCUGCUGCUGCUGCUGC